This is a long non-coding RNA of Fukomys damarensis (Damara mole-rat), 4261 nucleotides long. RefSeq lists it as uncharacterized. The record is from RefSeq and is a predicted model, not a curated record. NCBI's taxonomy places the organism in Eukaryota, Metazoa, Chordata, Mammalia, Rodentia, Bathyergidae. The transcript has 4 exons.
GCUGCCAAGACAACCAGGGCUCAGGCCGACUAAUUGGUGUGUCUCGGCAUCAAAUGAAAAUGGAAAAACCAGUGUGCAGAAAGACAGAGGAAUAAACAACAACAAAAACUAGAGUGAAGUGUUUGUUACUGUACUGCUCAUCACCGUUUAAAAGAUCCUCAGCGAUAACCGUGCCUUGACACGCACAAAGGCAGUGAAGAUCGGACACCCAGGGCACCAGCUCAGAUGCCACCUGAUGCUGUGUCUCAUGUGGCCAGAACUGAAGUCAUCCUCCCCUCAGGAAGCUGCACAACACCAGGAGAGAACUGGCAUGGGAAGCACUGCUUCAGAUGAGACUCCCAGGCAUCAGUGACCACUGUUAGACACAGAUGUGUGUAGUCCAGGGUCACAAGGAGGAUGUGGCCCAGGGUCUCCAUGUCACGACAACUGAAGGCAUCUACAGAAACCUCUGAAAUGAUGACAUGAGCAGCACCAACCCAUGUCCUGACCAGAUCAGGAAUAUCCACGUCAGCAGUGCUCACGUGUUCUCAGGAACUCGGGCAAGUUUGGAGCGCUGUACACCCAGGCUGUGAGUGGAAAGCCCCGGAUCUCAUCUGCUCAGUGAGUGAGGACACCUGGAAAAGCUCAUGUUUCUGUGUGGAGCCAUCUUCAACCUGCAUACAGCAAAAGCUCCGAACCUGCAGACCAUGUCAGUUUUGUGUGGAGGAAUCUACUAUGUGAUUGUGGACAGAAGUCCCCAUACACAUCUGGACACCUGACUACUUAGGGACAUGGGAGGAUGCUCAACGUAUAGGUGAGCAGAGCCACCACCCACAUGUCCCGACACACUCAGGCAUUUGUGAAGAUCUGAGCAACAUGAUGUGAAGAGUGGCCCUCCAUGUCCUGCCAAUCAGAGCAUGUGUGGUCCCUCUACAAACCAUCUGAGGCACAAGUGGUGCCUGGUACAAUGUAGUCGAGAGGGAAGCCCCACUCUCUCCUGUAGACCAGGCCUUCACAAUGGCCACAUGGCCAGAUCUCCACCAUCUCAGGCCUGUUGUGUCCUGCCCAUGAUCAUGGGAGUUGAUAUCCUCAUAUACAGAAAUUCUCGGGCGUAAGUUGAGUCCUCUUCAAAAUGGGCAUGAACAAGCUCCCCCUCUAUCCACUUCUAGCAGCACAGUGACCCCUGUACAAUGUGUUUAUCACUGAGGUUCCUAUUUCCUUGCUAACAGGCUGUGUAUGGACCCUCCAUAUAUAACUGUGAGUGGAGCUAGCCCCAUUCCCUGACCUGUCAUCACAACCAGUCAUUUAGGGAAUCCUGUAGAAUGGAAACUUAACCUAAACACUCCCCAUGUCUUCAUCACAUGUGUAGUGACUUGGACAGUGUAAUCGAUAAACCAACUGUCUGUUCAUCUUGUUGGAAACACUAAAAUACUGUGAACAUGCUCCCUGUGUCUGACUACAUCACGAAGGAGUGAUAUAGGCAGGGACACUUGUCCAUGUCAUGAAGACCUCAGACAUUGGUGGAGCCCUAUACAAUGAGAACGUGACCCAAGCCUCUCCAUGUCCCUACUUACGGGAAUGUGUGGAGUCCUUCACGACUUGGAUGGCAGCCGAACUAGCUAACAAGACCAACUUGGUUCUCUGGAGGUCUCUGUUCCAAGGAGGAAGUUAUCAGAGCUGUCUAUUUCCUGACCACCUCAGCAGGUUGUCAAGCCUUCUUGAAACAAGGAAUUGAGUAUUGCCCUGCUGUUUUGACCAGAAGGGGAUCAUGGAGCCCUCUGUAAUGAGGUUGUAAGCAGAGCACAUCCAGGAGGUGGCACACACUUCUACAUGGAUGGAGUAGAUCCCCCAGUAUCCUGUACAUUUCAGAAAAGAGCAGAGACCUCCACAGCAUGGAUAUGGAAGAUCCCUUAAUAUCGUGACCAUCUUCAUGGGAUGGGGGUCCUAAUACACAUGGAGGUGAGCAAAGUCGCCCCCAUGUCCUGACCCUCUCAGGUGAAGAGCUGUACAGUGAGAUGUGAGCAGACACCGCCAUGCCCCAUCCAAGCAUCCAAGUGGUCUUAGCCUUCCCCAAGCUGCCUAAGGCCCCCACACAUGCCGAAUAUACAUGAUAUGUGGGAGACCUCCCUGACCUGGACAUGCACAGCACCUCCCAUGUUCAGACCAUCUCCAGCUAUAUGUGGAGCUGUCUACAGUGUAGAUGGGAAAGAACUGCCCCACUCUUUCUGAGGUGUGUGUGUGUGUGUGUGUGUGUGUGUGUGUGUGUGUAUCUGUGGAGCCCUCUCCAAUGGAUGGGCGAGCAGAGCUUUGUAGGGCCAGGCCCCUAUAUAACGUGUGGAGCCCUUCACUAGGAGGAUGUGAGUAGAGCCCCGCCUACCACCACGUUCUGGUCCUGUUGGUCACAUCCCAGCCACUGAAGCCACGCCACAUGGAGUUCCCUCCAACUCAAGUAGGAGCUGAUCCGGUCCCCGAUGUCUGAUCACGUCAGUUAUGUGUGCUGCUCGUUAAUUGGGGGUGGGAGCAGAGGCCCCACGCCAUACCCCCACUAUCUCAGGUGUGUGAGAAGUGCUCUACAGUGAGGAUGUCUACAGUGGCCAGUCCUGACCAUCAGUGUGUGUGGUGUCCAGUAAUAUGUGGACAUAGGCAGACGCCUCAAGCCUUCACUGGCUCAGGUAUGUGGAACCCUCGAGAAAGUCACUACACUCAGAAUGACCCAUCCUCACAUUCUGAGCCCUCUAAGUGUGUGCGAAGGCUUCUACAAUGUGGAUGUGAGCACAGUGGUGCUGCCCUAGGUCCUGACCAUCUCAGGUGUGCGAGAGGGACCAUCCACAUGUUGAUAUAUAUGGAUGUGUUCAGAGCUCCUAUAUCUGGGCCAUCUCAGGGGUGUGUGAGUGCCUCUAAAAUAUAUGAGUGAGUAGAGCCCCCUACAUCCUGACAUCACAGGCGUGUGUGGAGUGCUCUACACUGCAGAGAGGAGCAGAGACCUCCACUCACUGAGUUUAACCAUCCCGUGUGUGGAGCCCCAUCUGUGAUUUCAGUACACUCCACCCUAUCCUCAGAGCAGUCGUGUCUGCAGCCUUCUACAACAUGGAUGUGAGCGGAGGCCCUCACCAUUAUCACAUGGACUGGACUCCCUACAACAUGGAAGUGAGCAACGCUCCCCCAGCCCCAGCUACCUAUGGUAUGUGGACAGCCCUAUCAAAAUGGGUACGAAACGAGACCCCAGGGCUGACAGGUCAGGCACGUGGGGCACCUCUGCCAGGUCACCCUCUAACUGGCUGGAGAAACCUCACCAAGGUGGAUGUUGGCAGAGCCCCUCCUGUCCUGGCCAUCAGUAGGGACAUGGGAAAGGACAGCAUAAACAAAGAAACUGUUUAUGCAGACAGCAAACAACCUCUGUGAACAAACUUUAGCUCAUGUCACAGUCUAAGCCCUGACUGCUAUACUGCCCUGUGUAACAAGGCAUUUUUGCAUUUUAUAUCACUAGAGACAAAUAAAGGAAAUCCAUACUCAUUUGGGCAAAGUCAACUCAGGACCAGAGUGAGACCAGCUUUCCAGUCACUGAGUUAAUGCACAGCAAUGCUGAGAAAAGGUCAGAGAUCCUAACUCUGGAGCUUAAAUGGAAGAAACUCCCGAGAGACCAUUUCAGCCACUGAACCAUUUCAGAGCAUAUCUUUGAAGUCUGAACUAGGCUAAUUGAAUGGAGUGAAUUUGGAAGGUUAGUGAAAAGAGCCCUUUGUUCACUACCAUCCUGCACAGCCUGGCAGGAAUGAUGGGCUGCUGCCCAGGACACUGCCAACCCUCCUGAUGCCAGCAAAGGCCUUUAGGUGACGUCUUGUGAAAGGGCUCCAUACUGCAGGCCACAUACCCAGAGGGCAAGUAGGCUGUUUACAGAACCUAAAUGUGGAACACAAGCGUGGUUCUGGGGCCAGUGCAGACACGAGCUGGAUGUGCCAGCCAUAGCUUAGCUAGGAAAACAGGAAAGGACUGAGGCAGGGAAUGGCUGUGUUUGAUGUAGGGAGAUCUUCCUGAGACUUCAGACAUCAAGUGCCUGAAAAUGCAUUUAUCUCUAAAGUUUGAGUAACAUUUGGCUCAUGCACCUUCCCUACCACUCACUCCACACAAAGAGACUCAAAACUAUCUCUGCAGAAUGGAGGCUCAAAACUGAUGCCUUUAUUGAAAAGUACAUGUAAGUCGGGAAGGCUAAACAGGGUUCCCCACACUAUCGAAAUUUGAAAUGCAUCCUAAUGAGAUAAUUGACAAUGAGAAAUAGGAAGAAUAG